CCUACGGGUGGCUGCAGUGGGGGAUAUUGCACAAUGGGGUGACCCCUGAUGCAGCGACGCCGCGUGGGUGAAGGAGUGCUUCGGCAUGUAAAGCCCUAUCGGCAGGGAAGAAGCAAGACGGUACCUGACUAAGAAGCCCCGGGGAACUACGGGCCAGCAGCGGCGGCAAUACGUCGGGGGCGAGCGUUAUCCGGAUUCACUGGGUGUAAACGGAGCGUAGACGGCUAAGCAAGUCAGGGGUGAAAGCCCGGGGCCCAACCCCGGGACUGCCGUUGGAACUGCAUGGCUGGAGUGCGGGAGGGGCAGGCGGAAUGCGUGGUGUAGCGGUGAAAUGCGUAGAUAUCACGAAGAACACCGACGGCGAAGGCAGCAUACUGGAGCGCGACUGACGUUGAGGCUCGAAAGCGUGGGGAGCGAACAGGAUUAGAUACCCGUGUAGUC
RNAcentral lists this ribosomal RNA (441 nucleotides) under uncultured bacterium. RNAcentral's name for it is "partial 16S ribosomal RNA". It matches the Rfam family "Bacterial small subunit ribosomal RNA", at positions 338 to 795 of the family's 1533-position model. The record is from RNAcentral.